Molecule: long non-coding RNA, 2251 nt
Filed under: Triticum aestivum (bread wheat)
Lineage: Eukaryota; Viridiplantae; Streptophyta; Magnoliopsida; Poales; Poaceae
Description: long non-coding RNA (TAES_LNC011608)
Rfam family: MIR1120/MIR1122 microRNA precursor family (bases 1488-1622)
Source: RNAcentral
AAUCAUAAUCCAAGAUGAAAUUGCAGUUGUAUACUAAAGAUUUCAGAAUGUCUGAUUUAUUCUGUGUACUUCGAAGGACUUAUAAUACAUAUAUAAGUGGGAGCAGAUGAAAAAGAAAUCAUAAUCCAAGAUGAACAUGGCAGAGAUGCAAACUGUCAACAAAAUAUGCAAAACAGAACGUAGUCUUGGAACAACUGGAUUUGUUCCCUCUUGGAUUCAGGCUACAUGUUAUCUUCAGAAUUUGAAUUGAUGGAGUCGACUACAGCGCCACAAUGGGAGUCACAACACGCACCACUUGCUUCAAGCUCGCCAGUAGCCAGGACCAUUAUGCAUCCAUUCCGAGUCUCAUCUCCAGGAGUGCAACAUUCAUGAACAAAAAAUGAAGAAAGAAAAUUUAAUAAUUUGUGUAUGACAUAGAUGGCAUGCAAGCCACACUUUCUCCAGGCUAAUCUUAGUCCUGGUAAGAUAAACAAUCUAUUAAACUUGUCCUAUCAACAUCUCAACAGUGGAGAAACGUCUACUAUUUCAAAAUGGAAAACUGUACAAUAAGGAAAUAUCCAUGAGUAGAUCUUGCGCUAGGAUAGUCAUUGUUUCACAAAGCUAAAAAGAAAAGAGAAAAAUCCACACAAAAAUUUAGGAAGACCAAAGCCACACAACAAGGCCUUCCUAAUGAGAUGAAUAUACCAUCAGGAAAAUAAAUCAUACCAACAAGGCCUCCUAUACAAAUCAGAAACUUCUAUAUGCUCCUCUUAUCUUCAUCUCGCCUUUUCCAAUGAUUGUUUACACCGUGUACAUGCCGAAGACUUCAUUUCUCCAAUACAGAAGACAUCAAGCUCAAAAAGACCAUAAACUGAUGGUCAUAUCAUCUCUUUGGGCAACAACCAGUCCUAGCACUGCAGCUAGAUAACACAAAAGUUGAGCUUGAAAUCAUAGUAAACCAUGCAGCUAACUGCUAUUUACUCACAUAUCACAUAAAAGAAAAAUAAGCUAACUACAUAUUCAUAUUCAGUUAUAAAGUAACAGGAAGCAAACUAAAAAAUUGCUGAAGAAACUAUCAGUUCUAGAAAAUAAUUUUGCUGCCCUCGAAAAAUAGAGAUUUGUCAAUAAUCGGAAACCGUCGUAAUAUGACUUCCUAUUGUGUCCUAAACUUUCAAAUUGCUUAGAAGCCAUAUACAGUAUGUUAUAAUUUCCAAUAGCAUGCCACGCCUCUCAUGUACACAGCCUUCUAUAGAUAAUGUAAAAUUGACCGUUCUGCAAGCAGAUGCAAUCACAACCGUAGAUGUAAACAAAUUUCUUAAUAUUCGGUAUGAAACUUUUUGAUCAAACAUAAAAACAAUCAAAAGGACAAAUAUGUAAGAAGCAAGAAACAUGACAACACUGGAGUAGCUGAUAAUCCUAUCAAUAACCCCUACACCAGCUGCAUUAAGAUAUACUCUGGAGUAUUGUGUUAUUUGUUGUUGCCUGCAAAUGUUGGACUUGGUGGAACAUACAUACUCCCUCCGUCCGAAAAUACUUGUCAUCAAAAUGGAGAAAAGGAGAUGUAUCUAGAACUAAAAUACAUCUAGAUACAUCCUCUUUUAUCCAUUUUGAUGACAAGUAUUUUCGGACGGAGGGAGUACCUCGCACCUUUUAUUUGCUUAAACCCAUUUUAUUCUCGUGUUCAACAAUUGCAGGCUUGCAGAAUAGCUGAAGCAUCAUAAUCUACAGAGCUAAAGUAUUGUGAAGAAACAAACAUCUGAAUAAAUGUGUUCAGGCAAAAUAUGUGUGGAUCCGGAAGGUAGCACGAUUCUCAAUUCAUUCUUCAGAACCUACAUUUGAAUUCAUUAAAGCUUAAUUUACCACGGUGUCAUGAUCUAAAACAUAAGAACACAUAGGUUUUUCAAUACAGUUUUGAGUGUCAUCCUAUGUAGGCUAACUUGUGCAAACUGGAAGAUACUUUAACAUAUUUCAGAGGCCUUAUUUGGUACAGAAGUAACAUUCAACAUGACAGUAAAUCUUGAGAUUAUUGGUAUUACCUGAGAGUAAGCUCAUGAAGCAGUAACUGUCAGUUUGUCACCUUAGCAAUUCAAUAAUAGUAACUAUCACUACUAUUAACAACAAAGAGUAUAUACUCAGCCUUUGAAGAAGCAUGGACCGACCUUCUCAACUAAUUCUUCUUGUAGGACGGUUGAAAUUCCUGGAGCUAGAAAAUUGCAGACGGCGUUUGAUGACAGCACUGUAUUUGGGCUGAAUAUAUGCUACUAUGGUCACC